Long non-coding RNA from Telopea speciosissima, 186 nucleotides. RefSeq lists it as uncharacterized. The transcript is spliced from 2 exons. The record is from RefSeq and is a predicted model, not a curated record. Lineage: Eukaryota; Viridiplantae; Streptophyta; Magnoliopsida; Proteales; Proteaceae.
AAAAAAACCCACCAAUGACUAUUAACAUUUUUCCUUAAACAUUUCCCGGGAAACCUAGAUUCAAUACUGAAGAUGUAUCAUGUAUGUCUUACUUUGCACCACUUGCUGGAGAAAAGACUCCAAUCCAAUCAGUAUUUGAUGCAUUUGGAGAGCUAAAUUUUACAGUCACCCAUUCACUAGUUUCAC